GGGGAUGCCAAGGUCUCGACAUGAGCACGAUUCUUUCAAAUGCAGUGGGGUUUGCCCCUUACAGCUAGAGGUUUACUUAAAUGCAAACUCAAAAAACGACAAUGUUGAAUUAGACGAAGCAUUCUUAAUCAACAAACUGUCAGCACAAUCUCAACUUAACUACAACUUUGUAGCCUAAGCCUUUGUGCUUUAAGGUAUUAACGUUUUCUUCAUUUACGUUAAUACAUUAGAAUAAAUGAAUAUGUUGUAUCGAUGCUAAUAAAUACGAUGAAUUCAAUCUUAGCUUAGUUAGACAAAGGGUGUCUUAAUUCCUAAUAUUGUCUGAUGAAACGCUUAAAUUAGGACUAAACUGUAGACUUUGUUAGAUGACUAUUUGUGGAAAUGGGUUCGAUUCCCAUCAUCUCCACCA
This 409-nucleotide transfer-messenger RNA is filed under the name Mycoplasmataceae bacterium. It matches the Rfam family "transfer-messenger RNA". From Rfam's summary of the family: Bacterial tmRNA, also known as 10Sa RNA or SsrA, is named for its dual tRNA and mRNA-like properties. Its role is to liberate the mRNA from a stalled ribosome. To accomplish this part of the tmRNA is used as a reading frame that ends in a translation stop signal. Lineage: Bacteria; Bacillati; Mycoplasmatota; Mollicutes; Mycoplasmatales; Mycoplasmataceae. The record is from RNAcentral.